RNAcentral lists this long non-coding RNA (1441 nucleotides) under Calidris pugnax (ruff). RNAcentral's name for it is "lncRNA (ENSCPUG00000015002.1)". The record is from RNAcentral. Lineage: Eukaryota; Metazoa; Chordata; Aves; Charadriiformes; Scolopacidae.
AGAGUGAUGAAGAUCAGCUCUGAACAGGACUUGAGUAUGAAGAUUUCCAGCUGGAAGAGGACUGGGUCACACAGGUUGUGUCCAAGGUGAACAGCUCACUUACUGUUAGCCAGUGCGGAAGAUCAGACAGUACUGGUUUGUAGAAAAACUCCAUAAUUAGCUGAAAAGCAAACCUCAGCUCAUAAUCCUGUUUAAACUGAGAUCAGAAAGAGCCUUCUGAAAGUAGGGUGUAUUGACCUACGGAUGUUAGUCCUGAGGCUGGUCCAGAAAUCAACCUUGUUGCAAAACGCUUGGCAGGCUUUGUGCUCAUUUGGGAAAAGGCAGGUAAUAACUAAGGAGGGUAAACAAUAACUCUGCAAAUGCAAUGAAAUUUUCAGGAGGAAGUGUUGAGGCAACAAAUUGCAAAGAUCUCUGUAGUUCCCCGAGAGUCGCUAAAUAGGCUUUAUCCUCUCUUCCAGGCAGAGUCCUUUAUUCAGUGAACCCUGGCACUGGCAACCCGAAAGGAAGCAACUCCUCUUCCAAACACCUGAUGCAAGAUUAACAAAUGAAGCAGAUCAAAGGCUUUUAUGAAAGAAAGGGAAUAUUUCCUGAAUGGUUCAAGUGCAUAGCAACAUGAUGUAAUUCAGAAUAGAAGUGCAAUUUAUGAACGUUCCUCUUAACCUGAAGCUUGGCAGGAACUGCGCUUCCCUGGCAAUUGGUAAGAAAUGUGCAACUACUAUGAAAGGAACAAGUUCCUUUAAAAGGAGGCAGUUUAGACUAACCAAUAAGAUUUUUAAGUGGCAAGACUGACACAGUAAGUCUUAAAAGUAAGAUAUUUUUACAUGUUUUCAAGAUAGAAUGAUGACCACAAGUGCCAGAUGUGCUGUCUAAUUGGUUUUGGCCAAAGAGCACAUGCGCAGAGCAGCCAUGAGGCAUGACAGGAAAUGGAACAUGGGAAUUCCAAGCAAUUUGCUGUCCAGUCUUCCAGUCAUCAGCCCGUGGUAUUUCAGUGUGGAGGCAGCGUGUCGCUGCUGUGCAGGGCCAGCCCUGUAACACUGUACAUGUGCCAGACUUGGGAAAUAAAAGAGGCCUUGUUCUGCUUCAACGUCAGCCUUGUCCAGCAUCACGCAGUGACACUUGGAGGCCUUCCAAGAAUGUGUGUCACAGGCCCUGCUAGAGCAGAUACCAAAGGAGCAUAACUGCUGCACAGCUCUGCGCCCUAACAAGGUUCUCCUGUACAUGCACGUUUGGAAAGUUACUGCUGAGUAAGGAAAGAACGUUUGAAGACACCUCUAUCCAAGGACCUACAUGAAAUGCAUGCUGUGGUGGUUUUUCCUAGUACCAAAUUUAAGUGAAGAAUAUAAUAGAAGUAGCAGAAGAUGACAUUUGCUUUAGGAGAGUACUGAGGAAAGGGUAAGCAGGAUCUAAUAAACAUGACAUGCUUGUUGAGGUGUUUUAAACA